Podarcis lilfordi (Lilford's wall lizard) is the source of this 75-nucleotide non-coding RNA. NCBI's taxonomy places the organism in Eukaryota, Metazoa, Chordata, Lepidosauria, Squamata, Lacertidae. The record is from the annotation of a GenBank genome assembly.
UGGGAUAGCUUAGUCCGUAGAGCAUGAGAUUCUUUAUCUCAGGGUUCAUGGGUUCGAACCUCACACAGGGCAAAA